Molecule: long non-coding RNA, 1322 nt
Filed under: Taeniopygia guttata (zebra finch)
Lineage: Eukaryota; Metazoa; Chordata; Aves; Passeriformes; Estrildidae
Description: lncRNA (ENSTGUG00000023150.1)
Source: RNAcentral
UUUUUUUUUUUUUUUUUUUUUUUGUUGUAGUGGCUGACAUAGUGUAUUUUCUCCAUGGUUUCGCCAUCUGUGCUAAUCAAAAAAAUGUUACCCUGGCACCAAUAUUGAGAUCAGUGAGUGAAGUCCAUCAUGUGGCUGAAGGAUGGAGCAGGUUCCUUUUCUGCCUUUCCAUUUUAUGAAAAUUUGAGAGAAGGGAAGCAGUGCUGGGGUCUGAUCCCUGAUGCUCUGUGUGCUGUCAGUCUGAAUUCAGCCUCAUCCAGCAGAAAAUGUGGAGAACACUCUUUCCCAUCCAUCAGAGCCGAGUGUCUUAGAUUUCUUCCUUCUGCCUCUUGGAGGAGGAGUAAUCCCAGCACAAGAAAAUAGCUGUGUUGUGGGAAUUACUGGCUGAAAUGAAGAGUACACCUCUUGAGCUUUGGACUGCAGCCUGAGCUUUGGACUACCCUUCUUCACCGGAAACUUUGAUGGCCGAGGAGCAGAUGCUGAAAUAGGAGUGUGAACAGCUUGAAAUGCCAAUGAAGCCACGUGUUCUUAAGUCAAAAUAAAAUGCUGUUUCAGGAUUGAUUUAUAGAGACCCAUCCAAGCAGUUACAGUUGACAGAAGCAUUUUAGAAAGGCUCAGAAUUUCAAGUACCAUUAAACAAUAUUUUAUGGGCUUCAAAGGAUGUAUCCAGGUGCUGCCAAAGGCCAGAGAGUUCUUUCUGCCUGGUCUGGAGGUGCUACUUUUUUUAAUGCUAAGCACUUCUAUUGGCUUAUUUUUUCAUCCUGGGUGCUUCUGGUGUGUUUUCUUAAGGUGUCUUUUUUUGUGAAAGCCAAUGGCAUUUGAUUCCUGAAAGGUGGCAGAGAGGACUGGUGUGACACUGCAGGCCUGGAAGCUAACAUGUGAAGAAGACACGUGAGCAGGAAAGGAGCUGAAGUUGUGGGUUGUUGGUUCUUUGGUGGUGUUGUUUUUUGAGGGUUUUUUUUUCUUUUUUGAGCUGGAAAUCCCAUUAUAGAUGGCAAUUUUGUAGGUUUCAACAACUUCCAAAAAGAGAUUUGGGCACGAGGUUUGUUGAGAUUCAUGAGAAAUUAAAAACAAGGCAAGGAUUUCAGGUCAUUUAGGAGUUUCUGAAUCCUGUGGGACUGAGUGGCAUUUCAUCUCCUGAGCACCUCUGUGCAACUCAGUCCAAGUGUCUACAAACUGUAGAGCAGAUCAUGCCACAGGUGGCAUGGAUGAGAGAGCAGACUCCUCUGGGACAAUUCCUGCAGUAAGGAAGGGGCUGUUGAACUCAGGGCUCCUGUCUUGGCUGCUGUGGUAGAGAACAGCCCAGAUCUGCCAUGGGGAUU